This 1299-nucleotide long non-coding RNA is filed under the name Ornithorhynchus anatinus (platypus). RNAcentral's name for it is "lncRNA (ENSOANG00000045714.1)". The record is from RNAcentral. Lineage: Eukaryota; Metazoa; Chordata; Mammalia; Monotremata; Ornithorhynchidae.
CUGGCUGGGGUGUGUGCGGCGUGCUGUGCUGUGUAUCGUUGGCUGGAGUGUGCCGUGUGUGUGUGUCUUUGGGGUUGUGCGCAGUGUGCUCCGUGUGUGUGUCUCUGGCUGGGGUGUGUGCGGCGUGCUGUGCUGUGUGUGUGUCAUUGGCUGGAGUGUGCUCCGUGCGUGUGCUGUGUGCGAGUCACUGGCUGGGGGGUGUGCGGUGUGCUGUGUGUGUGUGUGUGUGCAGUGCGUGUGUGGGACCGGCUGGGGUGUGUGCAGGGUGGCCCGUUGAAUUCCCGGGUUCGGCGGCCGCUUUGGAAACUGACUGGGCGUCGGUGGGCGGCGGGCGCUGUCCCGGACCGUGUCUCUCUGUCUCUGUCUCUGCGGGAAGGGGGGGGAGGGGGUCCCCGGGUAGGGGUCGGGCCCGCCGCCCCCGGUCCCACCCCCCGGCCCGGGAUUCGGUGCUCGUCCCGGCCCGGCCCGCCCGGCCCCGGCUUCCUUACAUGGUCACGGCCGGGGCCUCCCCGCUCCCGGACGGACGUCUCUCCCUCCCCCCGCCCCCCCACCGGACACAGCCCCCGCCCUGCUCCUCAUCCCUCCCUCCUCCUCCUCCUCCUCCUCCUCCUCCUCCUCCUCCUCAUCCCUUCUUCCUCCUGCCGCCCGCCGGCCCGGGCCCCCCCCGGCCCGCCAUGGAGGACCUGGGUGAGUGCGGCGGGGGGCAGAGGGGCCGCCUGCCUCCCGCUCCCCCCGGGCCCUGCCCGCCGCCUCCAUCUCUGCCACACUCUUCUCUUCUCCUCCUCCUCCUCUUCUUCCUCCAUCCCGGGGCUCCGCUGGGCUCCAGCCUCCCCCUCCCGCUCUCCCUUCCUCCCCGGCUGCCCGGGCAUCCCACCGCCCACCUCCCCCCCGGCUCUACCUCCGUCGAGCCUCGCCGUCAUUCCUGACUUUUCUCCCUGCUUCAUUCCCUCAACGGUUCUCUCCCCUCCCCCUUUUCCCUUUUCUCUCCCUCUCCUCCCCGCUCCACGCCGCUCUUCCUGUUUCUCCCUCUUUCACCCUCUCCUUCUCUCUUUCUGUCCAUCUCCGUCUAUCCCACUCUCUCUCUCUCCCCCGUCCCACCCAUCCCCACCUGACCUGUUCCCAUCCCUCCACCGCUCUCCCCUGUCUUCUUUCUCUCUUGCCCCUCGGAGAGGCGGUCGGGCGGGGAGUCCUCCCUCCCCGGGGCCCGGGGCCCGUGGGCACCGAGGGGGCCGAGGCCGGGCCGGAGGAGACCGGGGUUCGGCCAGAGAGCGGAGACGGGCCGCGCCCCCGACUCUCUAG